RNAcentral lists this ribosomal RNA (776 nucleotides) under uncultured Neocallimastigales. RNAcentral describes it as "partial large subunit ribosomal RNA". It matches the Rfam family "Eukaryotic large subunit ribosomal RNA", at positions 23 to 635 of the family's 3401-position model. Lineage: Eukaryota; Fungi; Neocallimastigomycota; Neocallimastigomycetes; Neocallimastigales. The record is from RNAcentral.
GAGACUCUGUGCGCGUGCAUAUCAAUAAGCGGAGGAAAAGAAACUAACAAGGAUUCCCUUAGUAACGGCGAGUGAAGCGGGAAGAGCUCAAAUUUGAAAUCUUCAAGGUUUUACCUUGACGAAUUGUAGUUUAAAGAAGUGUUUUCUGUUGGAGUUUUGGUAAAAGUUCUUUGGAAUAGGACAUCAUAGAGGGUGAGAAUCCCGUAUUUGACCGUUACUUUCCAGCUGUGUGAUACACUUUCAAAGAGUCGGAUUGUUUGGGAAUGCAGUCCAAAAUGGGUGGUAAAUUUCAUCUAAAGCUAAAUAUUGGCGAGAGACCGAUAGCGAACAAGUACCGUGAGGGAAAGAUGAAAAGAACUUUGAAAAGAGAGUUAAACAGUACGUGAAAUUGUCAAAAGGGAAGCGUUUGGCACCAGUGUUGUUUAGUUGAAAAUCAAUUCAAUAAUUUUUGAUUUUGAGUAGUAUUGGCUUCAUCAGCUUGCUGCUUUCUUUUCGGAAAUUAUUGAAUGCACUUUUCAGUUAACAAGUCAACAUCAAUUUCUUUUGUUGUAAAAGGGUAAGAGGAAGGUGGCUUACGCUUCGGCGUAAGUGUUUAUAGCCUUGUACCUCUGCAAUCGGAGAGAUUGAGGUCUGCAGCGUAGAUCCUUCGGGGUUAGAUACAUUUGUGCUAAGUUAUAGCUUUUCAUAGACAACUUGUUGACUAUGUUAAGUCUUGUAGCUUACUCGCUUAUGCUAUUUUACCUACGCUUAGGGAUGUUGAAGAUGUAGCACAUCAU